This 248-nucleotide long non-coding RNA is filed under the name Carica papaya (papaya). Its description in RNAcentral is "long non-coding RNA (CPAP_LNC005311)". The record is from RNAcentral. Lineage: Eukaryota; Viridiplantae; Streptophyta; Magnoliopsida; Brassicales; Caricaceae.
UAUUACAGGUCACUAGUGGAGGUAGAACCGGUUAGUUCACAUUUGUCCUAAUUCCCUGUUUAUUUUUCUCUACUGCCUGUAUUUGCUUACUAUUAUACUAUGCGUAAUUGAAUUGAUGGUUUUUAUGGUCUUUUAAAUUAUUUGGUUAUUUAAUUCCUCCUGUAUUGUUUGUUCGAUAUUCUGGUUAUUUGGAUAUUUGACUAUGCUAAACUAUAUCACUUGCUUAAGUGCCAUUUGAAUUAAUUUGU